This 414-nucleotide ribosomal RNA is filed under the name uncultured microorganism. RNAcentral's name for it is "bacterial SSU rRNA". It matches the Rfam family "Archaeal small subunit ribosomal RNA", at positions 459 to 872 of the family's 1478-position model. The record is from RNAcentral.
CAGCCGCCGCGGUAAUACCGGCGGCCCGAGUGGCGGUCACUAUUAUUGGGCUUAAAGCGUCCGUAGCCGGGUUGGGAAGUCCUCCGGGAAAUCUGGCCGCUUAACGGUCAGAAUGCCGGAGGAUACUCCCAGCCUAGGGAGCGGGAGAGGCCGAGGGGAUUCCCGGGGUAGGGGUGAAAUCCUAUAAUCCCGGGAGGACCACCUGUGGCGAAGGCGCUCGGCUGGAACGCGUCCGACGGUGAGGGACGAAGGCCAGGGGAGCAAACCGGAUUAGAUACCCGGGUAGUCCUGGCGGUAAACGAUGCGGACUUUGUGUCGGACAAGCUAUGAGCUUGUCCGGUGCCGGAGGGAAACCGUUAAGUCCGCCGCCUGGGGAGUACGGCCGCAAGGCUGAAAUUUAAAGGAAUUGGCGGG